AUACUCUGCUCCUUCUUACUUCUAUUCUACAAGUACUCUGCUCACAAACACACACACACUUACACAUACAUUUACAGAUACACACACUCACAGACAAACACUCACACGUACACUUACAGACACACACACACACACUCACAUAGAAACACAUACACACAAACAUACAGACAGACACACAUGCACUAACAGACACACAUAUACACACACACAUACUUACAGACACAAACACACAUAUACUUACAGACACACAGACACACACACAUAUACUUACAGACACACAAAAAUAUACUUACAGACACACACAUACUUACAGACAGAC
This is a non-coding RNA of Pelobates cultripes (western spadefoot toad), 319 nucleotides long. The record is from the annotation of a GenBank genome assembly. NCBI's taxonomy places the organism in Eukaryota, Metazoa, Chordata, Amphibia, Anura, Pelobatidae.